RNAcentral lists this long non-coding RNA (279 nucleotides) under Rattus norvegicus (Norway rat). Its description in RNAcentral is "long non-coding RNA NONRATT010119". The record is from RNAcentral. Lineage: Eukaryota; Metazoa; Chordata; Mammalia; Rodentia; Muridae.
CACAGCUCUGCACCCCGGGAGCGGCAGUCUACGCGUGCGUGCCGCGGUGCACUGUGGGUAGCUUGUGCGCGCAGCAGUCCCCGGGUCUGAGAACCCUGUCGCACACGGUCAGUUACUCGGCCAGUCACUGGGCCCUGUGGCUCUGGUUUCUGCUAGGCGAGGGCCUGGGCACCAGGACGUGCCUGACACCGCAGGUGCCACACGCAAUGCUCUCUGCCCCUACCUGGGCUCCUCCCCAGGCUGUCACUUAACUCCCGAGCUUAGUGGUUGUCAGCUCUG